UACGUAGGGUGCAAGCGUUGUCCGGAAUUAUUGGGCGUAAAGAGCUCGUAGGCGGUUUGUCGCGUCGAAUGUGAAAACCCGGGGCUCAACCCCGGGCCUGCAUUCGAUACGGGCAGACUAGAGUUCGGUAGGGGAGUCUGGAAUUCCUGGUGUAGCGGUGAAAUGCGCAGAUAUCAGGAGGAACACCGGUGGCGAAGGCGGGACUCUGGGCCGAUACUGACGCUGAGGAGCGAAAGCUAGGGGAGCGAACGGG
This 253-nucleotide ribosomal RNA is filed under the name uncultured bacterium. Its description in RNAcentral is "partial 16S ribosomal RNA". It matches the Rfam family "Bacterial small subunit ribosomal RNA", at positions 524 to 776 of the family's 1533-position model. The record is from RNAcentral.